This 2715-nucleotide long non-coding RNA is filed under the name Citrus x clementina. Its description in RNAcentral is "Citrus clementina (C. clementina) long non-coding RNA (CCLE_LNC006379)". The record is from RNAcentral. Lineage: Eukaryota; Viridiplantae; Streptophyta; Magnoliopsida; Sapindales; Rutaceae.
GUGGGCUAUAGCCUUGGGGGGUGGGGCUGGCCAACAACGUCCGCCGGACUCAGAAUGCCGUGAGGCUUUGAGAGGGGCCUCCGUGUGCCAAAAACAGACCGCGGGCAAAGCCGCGCCCAAAAAUAACCGCACGAAGGCCGGGGCCCCAAGUUCGUCCAGCGGAAAAAGGCGACAAAAACGGGUGGGCUAUACCCUCGAGGGGUGGGGCUGGCCAACUUCGUCCGCCGGACUCGGAAUGCCGCGAGACAUUGCGAGGGUCCUCCGUGUGCUAAAAAUAGGGCGCGGGCAAAGCCGCCCCCAAAAAUAACAGCCCGAAGGCCGGGGCGCCAAGUUCGUCCAGCGGAAAAGGGCCACAAAAACGGGUGGGCUGCACCCUCGGGGGGUGGGGUUGCCCACUUCGUCCGCCGGACUCGGAAUGCCGCGAAACUUUGCGAGGGUCCUCCGUGUACCAAAAAUAGUCCGCGGACAAAGCCGCGCCAAUAAUUAACCGGCCGAAGGCCGGGGAACCAAGUUCGUCCAGCGGAAAAAGGCCACAAAAACGGGUGGGCUAUAGCCUUGGGGGGUGGGGCUGGCCAACUUCGUCCGCCGGACUCGGAAUGCCGCGAGACUUUGCGAGGGGUCUCCGUGUGCCAAAAAUAGGCCGCGGGCAAAGCCGCACCCAAAAAUAACCGCCCGAAGGCCGGGGCGCCACGUUCGUCCAGCGGAAAAAGGCCACAAAAACGGGAGGGCUAUAGCCUUGGGGGGUGCGGCUGGCCAACUUCGUCUGCCGGACUCGGAAUGGCGCGAGACUUUGCGAGGGGCCUCCGUGUGCCAAAAAUAGGCCGUGGGCAAAGCCGCUCCCAAAAAUAACCGCCCGAAGGCCGGUGCGCCAAGUUCAUCCAGCGGAAAAAGGCCACAAAAACGGGUGGGCUAUAGCCUUGGGGGGUGGGGCUGGCCAACUUCGUCCGCCGGACUCGGAAUGCCGCGAGACUUUGCGAGGGGCCUCCGUGUGCCAAAAACAGGCCGUGGGCAAAGCCGUGCCCAAAAAUAACCGCCCGAAGGCCGGGGCGCCAAGUUCGUCCNNNNNNNNNNNNNNNNNNNNNNNNNNNNNNNNNNNNNNNNNNNNNNNNNNNNNNNNNNNNNNNNNNNNNNNNNNNNNNNNNNNNNNNNNNNNNNNNNNNNNNNNNNNNNNNNNNNNNNNNNNNNNNNNNNNNNGCCGCGCCCAAAAAUAACCGCCCGAAGGCCGUGGCGCCAAGUUCGUUCAGCGGAAAAAGGCCACAAAAACGGGUGGGCUAUAGCCUUGGGGGGUGGGGCUGGGCAACUUCGUCCGCCGGACUCAGAAUGCCGUGAGGCUUUGCGAGGGGCCUCCGUGUGCCAAAAACAGACCGCGGGCAAAGCCGCGCCCAAAAAUAACCGCCCGAAGGCCGGGGCCCCAAGUUCGUCCAGCGGAAAAAGGCGACAAAAACGGAUGGGCUAUACCCUCGAGGGGUGGGGCUGGCCAACUUCGUCCGCCGGACUCGGAAUGCCGCGAGACAUUGCGAGGGUCCUCCGUGUGCCAAAAAUAGGGCGCGGGCAAAGCCGCGCCCAAAAAUAACAGCCCGAAGGCCGGGGCGCCAAGUUCGUCCAGCGGAAAGGGCCACAAAAACGGGUGGGCUGCACCCUCGGGGGGUGGGGCUGGCCCACUUCGUCCGCCGGACUCGGAAUGCCGCGAGACUUUGCGAGGGUCCUCCGUGUACCAAAAAUAGGCCGCGGACAAAGCCGCGCCAAGAAAUAACCGGCCGAAGGCCGGGGAACCAAGUUCGUCCAGCGGAAAAAGGCCACAAAAACGGGUGGGCUAUAGCCUUGGGGGGUGGGGCUGGCCAACUUCGUCCGCCGGACUCGGAAGGCCGCGAGACUUUGCGAGGGGUCUCCGUGUGCCAAAAAUAGGCCACGGGCAAAGCCGCACCCAAAAAUAACCGCCCGAAGGCCGGGGCGCCACGUUCGUCCAGCGGAAAAAGGCCACCAAAACGGGUGGGCUAUAGCCUUGGGGGGUGGGGCUGGCCAACUUCGUCCGCCGGACUCGGAAUGCCGCGAGACAUUGCGAGGGACCUACGUGUGAAAAAAAUAAUCCGCGGGCAAAGCCGCGCCCAAAAAUAACCACCCGAAGGCCAGUGCGCCAAGUUCGUCCAGCGGUAAAAGGCCACAAAAACGGGUGGGCUAUAGCCUUGGGGGGUGGGGCUGGCCAACUUUGUCCGCCGGACUCGGAAUGCCGCGAGACCUUGCGAGGGUCCUCCAUGUGCUAAAAAUAGGCCGCGGGCAAAGCCGCACCCAAAAAUAACCGCCCGAAGGCCGGGGCGCCACGUUCGACCAGCGGAAAAAGGCCACAAAAACGGGUGGGCUAUAGCCUUGGGGGGUGGGGCUGGCCAACUUCGUCCGCCGGACUCGGAAUGCUGCGAGACUUUGCGAGGGGCCUCCGUGUGCCAAAAAUAGGCCGCGGGUAAAGCCGCGCCCAAAAAUAACUGCCCGAAGGCCGGGGCGCCAAGUUCGUUCAGCGGUAAAAGGCCACAAAAACGGGUGGGCUAUAGCCUUGGGGGGUGGGGCUGGCCAACUUCGUCCGCCGGACUCGGAAUGCUGCGAGACUUUGCGAGGGGCCUCCGUGUGCCAAAAAUAGGCCGCGGACAAAGCCGCGCCCAAAAAUAACUGCCCGAAGGCCGGGGCGCCAAGUUCGUUCAGCGGAAAAGGCCACAAAAACGGGUG